This is a non-coding RNA of Myodes glareolus (Bank vole), 609 nucleotides long. The record is from RefSeq and is a predicted model, not a curated record. Lineage: Eukaryota; Metazoa; Chordata; Mammalia; Rodentia; Cricetidae.
AACUACAGCAAGCAGUACAUUUGUGAGGCAGGAACUGUGGAGAGACUGGAGAUCCAUCUGAAAUAUGAACUGUGCCUGAAACUUGUGUGAAUUCUGUUGCUGGUUGAUUGCGGCCCUGCCUUAAAUGCAGGCAUCUACCUCCAUCUCUCCUCUGUGGUCCAGAGAGCAUCACAAGAGAAGCAGAAAGAGUGUGAGAGCUGGAGGCUGCAGGGAGAACAAGGAAAUCGUCUUCUGGAUAUGACAUUACUAUUGCAAUCAGGUUGAUUUUACAAUUGAUGGUGAGGCAUGUUUCUUCAAGAAAGCAAAAGGGUAAUGAUCCACCUUAUGGACUUGAGGAAUGGUGACUGGAGAUUCGGAUAAGACAUAAGAAGACAAACCCCUAUAUGCUAUUUGCACAGCAUGAUGAACUUGGCUCUGCACGAAACUCUGCUGAAGUUCUGGAAUCAGACUUUCAUGAACUAGAUGCUCUGAGAUUUCUCUUCUUCUCACUGAUGGGAGAGAAAACAAUUUUAUGUGCCAUGUGGUCUAUCAUACCAUCCUGCGUCAAGAUGUGAGUCAAAGGCAUCCAAAACCAGACCUGGGAUCUCUAAACCUUUGAACCAAAAUAAG